GGCUCUGGCUGGCUUCAGGAGCUGCUCGCUGCCGUGGUGCAGGAAAAAUGGCGGGCGCUAUGGCAGCGAGCAGCAAGCAGCUCCUGAAGCCAGCCAGAGCCA
Molecule: microRNA precursor, 102 nt
Filed under: Podarcis lilfordi (Lilford's wall lizard)
Lineage: Eukaryota; Metazoa; Chordata; Lepidosauria; Squamata; Lacertidae
Source: RNAcentral